AUAACGACUCUCGGCAACGGAUAUCUCGGCUCUCGCAUCGAUGAAGAACGUAGCGAAAUGCGAUACUUGGUGUGAAUUGCAGAAUCCCGUGAAUCAUCGAGUCUUUGAACGCAAGUUGCGCCCGAAGCCUUUAGGCCGAGGGCACGUCUGCCUGGGCGUCUCGCA
This 165-nucleotide ribosomal RNA is filed under the name Rosularia serrata. Its description in RNAcentral is "5.8S ribosomal RNA". It matches the Rfam family "5.8S ribosomal RNA". Rfam says of the family: 5.8S ribosomal RNA (5.8S rRNA) is a component of the large subunit of the eukaryotic ribosome. It is transcribed by RNA polymerase I as part of the 45S precursor that also contains 18S and 28S rRNA. The record is from RNAcentral. RNAcentral also lists the same sequence under 1 other name. Lineage: Eukaryota; Viridiplantae; Streptophyta; Magnoliopsida; Saxifragales; Crassulaceae.